UUCGCUCUUGCCGGUCGCAAGGCCGGCUAUGGCGAUAAACGUUCUUCGAAAUAAACCUAUCGGACCCGGGGGCGGUACCCGGCGCCUCCACCAAGACCCAGGACCGAUGGCCGCAAGGCCUGUGCGGACCGGAAGACUGGGUUUCGGCGGGGGCGAAAUAGGAUCGACGAGGGCGUAAAGGUUGAGCUUUCGCUCGGCAUGGUUCCGCCGUUAUCGGGCCUCUGCAAUAGUUGCCAACGACAACUUUGCUCCGGUGGCUGUCGCCGCGUAAGCGGUGCCAAAAACCGACCUAAAGUCCUAGCGGGUAGCACUGCAUAGGCGGGGUUCGGAGGUACCUGGCAACAGAAACCUCCACUUAUCUU
Molecule: transfer-messenger RNA, 362 nt
Filed under: Methylobacterium gnaphalii
Lineage: Bacteria; Pseudomonadati; Pseudomonadota; Alphaproteobacteria; Hyphomicrobiales; Methylobacteriaceae
Description: transfer RNA
Rfam family: Alphaproteobacteria transfer-messenger RNA
About the family: Bacterial tmRNA, also known as 10Sa RNA or SsrA, is named for its dual tRNA and mRNA-like properties. Its role is to liberate the mRNA from a stalled ribosome. To accomplish this part of the tmRNA is used as a reading frame that ends in a translation stop signal.
Source: RNAcentral